RNAcentral lists this long non-coding RNA (968 nucleotides) under Cricetulus griseus (Chinese hamster). RNAcentral describes it as "lncRNA (ENSCGRG00015033858.1)". The record is from RNAcentral. Lineage: Eukaryota; Metazoa; Chordata; Mammalia; Rodentia; Cricetidae.
CCAUCACCAUCAUCAUCAUCACCAUCAUCACCAUCACCAUCACCACCAUCAUCACCAUCACCAUCACCAUCACCAUCACCAUCACCACCAUCACCAUCAUCACCAUCAUCACCACCAUCACCAUCAUCAUCACCAUCAUCACCAUCACCACCAUCACCAUCAUCACCAUCACCAUCAUCACCAUCACCACCAUCACCACCAUCACCACCAUCACCAUCACCAUCAUCACCAUCACCAUCAUCACCAUCAUCAUCAUCACCAUCACCACCAUCAUCAUCACCAUCACCACCAUCACCAUCACCACCAUCAUCAUCAUCAUCACCAUCACCAUCAUCACCAUCACCACCAUCAUCAUCAUCAUCAUCACCAUCACCACCAUCACCAUCACCUUCCUUUCCUGAGAGAGAUCCAGGGCACAGAGCGUUUUGGAAUCUUGCCAAUGACCAGCAGCCAUCUCUCAGCAUCCUUGGAGGAUCAGUUCCAGUUCACUCUGAGAUACCCAGUCCCCGGGUCCUGGGGAUCCUUGCGUGAAACGGCGCACUGCGGCACACUGUGGCACACUGUGGCACACUGCGGCACACUGCGGCACACUGCGGAGCACUGCGGCACACUGCGGAGCAGCACACUGCGGCACACUGAGGCACACUGCGGAGCACUGCGGAGCACUGCGGCACACUGCGGCGCACUGCGGCACACUGCGGCGCACUGCGGCACACUGGCGCACUGCGGCACACUGCGGCGCACUGCGGAGCACUGCGGCACACUGCUUGCCUGUGACCUAUGCCCAUCUCCAGAUUAGUGCCCUCUGGUUCGAAUGCUGAGCAAAUGGCCACCGUACCACAUUGUCGAGGGGAUAAAGACAAGGUGGGGAAAACCUGUCCAAGUUUAGCCCUCACACGUUUUCCUCCAAGCAUUUUUGAGCCACUGCUGAUUGAGUCUUAGGUCUCCGAGGCCACAGACAGUCGCGG